CAGGUGCAACUUAAAUGACUAUUUGAAGUUUGGCCAUAGAUGUGUAUCUAUCACACUCUUGCAAUCUCAUUAACAUGGCAGGGCAAGUGUAGCAGGGAGAGAUGCUGCCCGCUUCAAAGAAUUCCACCUCCUUGAUCACCACGAUGACACUGCGAACGCAAGAGUGAGGAGUGGAGCACAGAUAAGAGAAGAGGUUGUCUACAUGGGAAACAGAAGACAUCUAAAUAAAACCAAGAGGACGAGGAUACCAGCUCAUUGUUUCUCGAGGACAUCCAGAAUGCUGCUGACAAAAGUAAAACCCACCCAGUCACUGACCGUCUAACAAACCAAAAGCAGCAAAUGAAGAGCCAGAUGGUGGAUCCAGCUGAGUGGGUAGACAGGCUAGUGUAGAAGGAAUAGUUCUGAGAACCAGAGAGGGCCAGGUGAUCAGAAAGCCAUUGAGGUUCAAAGACAGUAGGUGCUCACAGAUGUCCAAUGAGAGGCAGAA
This is a long non-coding RNA of Mauremys reevesii (Reeves's turtle), 487 nucleotides long. RefSeq lists it as uncharacterized. The transcript has 3 exons. Lineage: Eukaryota; Metazoa; Chordata; Testudines; Geoemydidae. The record is from RefSeq and is a predicted model, not a curated record.